RNAcentral lists this transfer RNA (85 nucleotides) under Acidobacteriota bacterium. RNAcentral's name for it is "Acidobacteria bacterium tRNA-Leu". It matches the Rfam family "tRNA". From Rfam's summary of the family: Transfer RNA (tRNA) molecules are approximately 80 nucleotides in length. Their secondary structure includes four short double-helical elements and three loops (D, anti-codon, and T loops). RNAcentral also lists the same sequence under 1 other name. Lineage: Bacteria; Pseudomonadati; Acidobacteriota. The record is from RNAcentral.
GCCGAAGUGGCGGAACUGGCAGACGCGCACGUUUGAGGGGCGUGUGGGGCAACCCGUGGGGGUUCGAAUCCCCCCUUCGGCACCA